UGAACUAUCGUGUCACGACAUGUU
RNAcentral lists this non-coding RNA (24 nucleotides) under Arabidopsis thaliana (thale cress). Lineage: Eukaryota; Viridiplantae; Streptophyta; Magnoliopsida; Brassicales; Brassicaceae. The record is from RNAcentral.